AGCUGUGAACAGAGCACGCGCAAAUGGUUCGAUUCGAGUCGCAGUUGUAUUAGUUUUAACAAAGUUUUGUCAGAUUUAUCCAACAACUGACUUAAAGUGUAUCACAAAUGAGAUUUCCUAGUUCAAUGUGAACAAAUAUAGAACAUCCCAAAGGAAAGAGUGAGUAGAAAUAGCCAGACAUAAUUGAGACUUGUGCGUGAUUCUGUUCUGAGGUGUGUGCAGCCUGUUUCUUUCGGUAUUCUGGUGAUGUUGCGGAAGUGAAGGCUAAAGUGCGCCCCAGUGGGCCAGUGGACUUGCCCCAAGAAGAAAAUGGGUUCACCAAGCCAACCUAGGACGUCUCGUUGGAAGAGAGCAUUUUCGAAAGCAACUCAACUGAAUCUACAGGCGGAAACCAAAAGGCUGACCAGUUGCCAGACAGUUUGUACGACAAAUCAACUGAACCGCAAAUUAUUUUCGUGCUAUUUUUGUUAUCCAGGAGCCCAAUUGAGAUGCGAAUGGUUUGAGCUGUGGUUGAGUUCGGGAGGAGCCUACACGAAAUGGAAGCUCAAUUGUUCUUGGAAGACCUCAUCAGUUCGACAUCGCUUUAAGAUUUAUUAUCAUAUAAGUAUGAACAUACGACCUUUAUUUCAUAAGAAUUUACUGGGCAUACGGA
This 652-nucleotide small RNA is filed under the name Drosophila pseudoobscura pseudoobscura. RNAcentral describes it as "GA32224". The record is from RNAcentral. Lineage: Eukaryota; Metazoa; Arthropoda; Insecta; Diptera; Drosophilidae.